RNAcentral lists this ribosomal RNA (684 nucleotides) under Methanoculleus sp. Annu8. RNAcentral describes it as "bacterial SSU rRNA". It matches the Rfam family "Archaeal small subunit ribosomal RNA", at positions 336 to 1024 of the family's 1478-position model. Lineage: Archaea; Methanobacteriati; Methanobacteriota; Methanomicrobia; Methanomicrobiales; Methanomicrobiaceae. The record is from RNAcentral.
CAGGCGCGAAAACUUUACAAUGCGGGCAACCGUGGUAAGGGAACCUCGAGUGCCUGUAUCUGCAGGCUGUCCAGGUGUCUAAAACACACCUGAAGAAAGGGCCGGGCAAGACCGGUGCCAGCCGCCGCGGUAAUACCGGCGGCUCGAGUGGUGGCCACUUUUAUUGGGCUUAAAGCGUUCGUAGCUGGGUUGUUAAGUCUCUUGGGAAAUCCGGCAGCUUAACUGUCGGGCGUCUAAGAGAUACUGGCAAUCUUGGAACCGGGAGAGGUGAGGGGUACUUCGGGGGUAGGAGUGGAAUCCUGUAAUCCUCGAGGGACCACCUGUGGCGAAGGCGCCUCACCAGAACGGCUUCGACAGUGAGGGACGAAAGCUGGGGGAGCAAACCGGAUUAGAUACCCGGGUAGUCCCAGCCGUAAACGAUGUGCGUUAGGUGUAUCGAUGACCACGAGUCAUCGAGGUGCCGAAGGGAAACCGUGAAACGUACCGCCUGGGAAGUACGGUCGCAAGGCUGAAACUUAAAGGAAUUGGCGGGGGAGCACCACAACAGGUGGAGCCUGCGGUUUAAUUGGACUCAACGCCGGGAAGCUCACCGGAUAAGACAGCUGGAUGAUUGCCGGGCUGAAGACUCUGCAUGACUAGCUGAGAGGAGGUGCAUGGCCGUCGUCAGUUCGUACUGUGAAGCAU